Molecule: ribosomal RNA, 253 nt
Filed under: uncultured bacterium
Lineage: Bacteria
Description: partial 16S ribosomal RNA
Rfam family: Bacterial small subunit ribosomal RNA
Source: RNAcentral
UACAGAGGUCUCAAGCGUUGUUCGGAUUCAUUGGGCGUAAAGGGUGCGUAGGUGGCGCGGUAAGUUGGGUGUGAAAUCUCGGAGCUUAACUCCGAAACUGCAUUCGAUACUGCCGUGCUUGAGGACUGGAGAGGAGACUGGAAUUUACGGUGUAGCGGUGAAAUGCGUAGAUAUCGUAAGGAAGACCAGUGGCGAAGGCGGGUCUCUGGACAGUUCCUGACACUGAGGCACGAAGGCCAGGGGAGCAAACGGG